GACGAACGCUGGCGGCGUGCCUAAUACAUGCAAGUAGAACGCACAGUUUAUACCGUAGCUUGCUACACCAUAGACUGUGAGUUGCGAACGGGUGAGUAACGCGUAGGUAACCUGCCUGGUAGCGGGGGAUAACUAUUGGAAACGAUAGCUAAUACCGCAUAAUAUUAAUUAUUGCAUGAUAAUUAAUUGAAAGGUGCAAUUGCACCACUACCAGAUGGACCUGCGUUGUAUUAGCUAGUAGGUGAGGUAACGGCUCACCUAGACGACGAUACAUAGCCGACCUGAGAGGGUGAUCGGCCACACUGGGACUGAGGCACGGCCCAGACUCCUACGGGAGGCAGCAGUAGGGAAUCUUCGGCAAUGGACGAAAGUCUGACCGAGCAACGCCGCGUGAGGGAAGAAGGUUGUCGGAUCGUAAAGCUCGGUUGUAAGAGAAGAACGGGUGUGAGAGUGGAAAGUUCACACUGUGACGGUAUCUUACCAGAAAGGGACGGCUAACUACGUG
This 505-nucleotide ribosomal RNA is filed under the name uncultured bacterium. RNAcentral describes it as "partial 16S ribosomal RNA". It matches the Rfam family "Bacterial small subunit ribosomal RNA", at positions 28 to 507 of the family's 1533-position model. The record is from RNAcentral.